Molecule: ribosomal RNA, 254 nt
Filed under: uncultured bacterium
Lineage: Bacteria
Description: partial 16S ribosomal RNA
Rfam family: Bacterial small subunit ribosomal RNA
Source: RNAcentral
UACGUAGGGUGCGAGCGUUGUCCGGAAAUUAUUGGGCGUAAAGAGCUCGUAGGCGGUUUGUCGCGUCUGCCGUGAAAGUCCGGGGCUCAACUCCGGAUCUGCGGUGGGUACGGGCAGACUAGAGUGAUGUAGGGGAGACUGGAAUUCCUGGUGUAGCGGUGAAAUGCGCAGAUAUCAGGAGGAACACCGAUGGCGAAGGCAGGUCUCUGGGCAUUAACUGACGCUGAGGAGCGAAAGCAUGGGGAGCGAACAGG